This 170-nucleotide ribosomal RNA is filed under the name Danio sp. CBM ZF 11667. Its description in RNAcentral is "partial 12S rRNA". Lineage: Eukaryota; Metazoa; Chordata; Actinopteri; Cypriniformes; Danionidae. The record is from RNAcentral.
AACCGCGGUUAAACGAGAGGCUCCAGUUGAUACACCACGGCGUAAAGGGUGGUUAAGGGAUAUAUAAAAUAAAGCCAAAUGGCCCUUUAGCUGUUAUACGCUUUUGGACGCUAGAAACCCAAACACGAAAGUAGCUUUAAUUACUUCCUGACCCCACGAAAGCUAAGAAA